RNAcentral lists this unclassified non-coding RNA (1343 nucleotides) under Hevea brasiliensis (rubber tree). Lineage: Eukaryota; Viridiplantae; Streptophyta; Magnoliopsida; Malpighiales; Euphorbiaceae. The record is from RNAcentral.
AGUGGUGGUGGUGGUGGUGGUGGGAGAAGGAAACCAUCAUGGAGAGAAAGAGAGAAUAACAGGAGAAGAGAGAGGAGGAGGAGAGCUGUAGCUGCUAAGAUUUAUACUGGUUUAAGAGCUCAAGGAAACUAUAAUCUUCCGAAGCACUGUGAUAACAAUGAAGUUCUUAAAGCUCUUUGUACUGAAGCUGGUUGGAUCGUUGAACCUGAUGGUACCACUUAUCGCAAGGGAUGCAAGCCAACCCCGAUGGAGAUUGGAGGCACUUCAACAAACAUCACGCCAAGUUCUUCACGGCAUCCAAGUCCCCCAUCAUCAUACUUUGCUAGCCCAAUUCCAUCUUAUCAGCCAAGUCCAACUUCCUCUUCUUUCCCCAGUCCAUCUCGUGCUGAUGCCAACAUGUCAUCACAUCCAUAUUCUUUUCUCCAAAAUGUCGUUCCUUCAUCCCUUCCUCCAUUACGAAUAUCAAACAGUGCCCCUGUAACUCCACCUCUUUCAUCACCAACUAGGCAUCCUAAGCAAACUUUCAAUUUAGAAACUUUGGCCAAAGAAUCAAUGUUUGCUUUAAACAUCCCUUUCUUUGCUGCUUCAGCCCCAGCAAGCCCAACUAGGGUUCAGCGUUUUACUCCUCCAACUAUACCCGAGUGUGAUGAAUCUGACUCAUCUACCAUUGAUUCAGGCCAGUGGAUCAACUUUCAAAAGUAUGCGUCAAAUGUUCCACCUUCUCCAACAUUUAAUCUUGUAAAACCUGUGCCUCAGCCGCUUCGUCCUAAUGAUAUGAUCACAGACAAGGGUAAGAGCAUAGACUUCGACUUUGAAAAUGUAUCAGUCAAGGCAUGGGAAGGUGAAAGGAUUCACGAUGUAGGAUUCGAUGAUCUGGAACUCACACUUGGAAGUGGCAAUGCUCGCAUAUGAUUGAGAUUCUCUGAUUUAGUUAGCUGAUGAAGCACUUUGCAUUCCAGUGGAUUAUUCCAGCCUCGUCUGGUGAGAUAUUGCCCAAACGUAGAGCUUGCAUGAAUCUCUGUUGCUACUUACCUUAUGUAUAACAUUCCUUCCCCCCCUUAUUUGAAAAGCCCCCUUCAAAAUUUAUACAGGUCUUAUCACAAGCAUUUCGUGUAGAUAUAUGCUUGCUUCUAUGGUCGAGAAUCAAUUUCUUCAUUGUAGACUAGAUGAAGCUUCUUCACAACUAUGAACUAUCCAUAUUUGUCUAUUAGAACUCGUUUUCUUUUCUUUCUGUUGGAACUAGCUACAGUUGAAGUCGAUGAUGUACCUUGUAGUCUCUCUGAUGUUUUUCGUGCACAUCAUGAAGACAUGAAACGCGUUACAGUUUAUACAUUGGAGAUUUU